GACGAACGCUGGCGGCGUGCUUAACACAUGCAAGUCGAACGGAAAGGCCCUGCUUGCCGGGUACUCGAGUGGCGAACGGGUGAGUAACACGUGGGUGAUCUGCCCUGCACUUCGGGAUAAGCCUGGGAAACUGGGUCUAAUACCGGAUAGGAGCCAUUUUUAGUGUGAUGGUUGGAAAGUUUUUUCGGUGUAGGAUGAGCUCGCGGCCUAUCAGCUUGUUGGUGGGGUAAUGGCCUACCAAGGCGGCGACGGGUAGCCGGCCUGAGAGGGUGGACGGCCACAGUGGGACUGAGAUACGGCCCAGACUCCUACGGGAGGCAGCAGUGGGGAAUAUUGCACAAUGGGCGCAAGCCUGAUGCAGCGACGCCGCGUGGGGGAGGACGGCCUUCGGGUUGUAAACUCCUUUCGCUAGGGACGAAGCUUUUUGUGACGGUACCUAGAGAAGAAGCACCGGCUAACUACGUG
This 465-nucleotide ribosomal RNA is filed under the name uncultured bacterium. Its description in RNAcentral is "partial 16S ribosomal RNA". It matches the Rfam family "Bacterial small subunit ribosomal RNA", at positions 28 to 507 of the family's 1533-position model. The record is from RNAcentral.